GUACACAAAAAUGCACAUAUUGUGAGCUCGAUGAGUAGGGCGGGACACGUGGUAUCCUGUCUGAAUAUGGGGGGACCAUCCUCCAAGGCUAAAUACUCCUGACUGACCGAUAGUGAACCAGUACCGUGAGGGAAAGGCGAAAAGAACCCCGGCGAGGGGAGUGAAAAAGAACCUGAAACCGUGUACGUACAAGCAGUGGGAGCCUCUUUAUGGGGUGACUGCGUACCUUUUGUAUAAUGGGUCAGCGACUUAUAUUCUGUAGCAAGGUUAACCGAAUAGGGGAGCCGAAGGGAAACCGAGUCUUAACUGGGCGUUAAGUUGCAGGGUAUAGACCCGAAACCCGGUGAUCUAGCCAUGGGCAGGUUGAAGGUUGGGUAACACUAACUGGAGGACCGAACCGACUAAUGUUGAAAAAUUAGCGGAUGACUUGUGGCUGGGGGUGAAAGGCCAAUCAAACCGGGAGAUAGCUGGUUCUCCCCGAAAGCUAUUUAGGUAGCGCCUCGUGAAUUCAUCUCCGGGGGUAGAGCACUGUUUCGGCAAGGGGGUCAUCCCGACUUACCAACCCGAUGCAAACUGCGAAUACCGGAGAAUGUUAUCACGGGAGACACACGGCGGGUGCUAACGUCCGUCGUGAAGAGGGAAACAACCCAGACCGCCAGCUAAGGUCCCAAAGUCAUGGUUAAGUGGGAAACGAUGUGGGAAGGCCCAGACAGCCAGGAUGUUGGCUUAGAAGCAGCCAUCAUUUAAAGAAAGCGUAAUAGCUCACUGGUCGAGUCGGCCUGCGCGGAAGAUGUAACGGGGCUAAACCAUGCACCGAAGCUGCGGCAGCGACACUAUGUGUUGUUGGGUAGGGGAGCGUUCUGUAAGCCUGUGAAGGUGGCCUGUGAGGGUUGCUGGAGGUAUCAGAAGUGCGAAUGCUGACAUAAGUAACGAUAAAGCGGGUGAAAAGCCCGCUCGCCGGAAGACCAAGGGUUCCUGUCCAACGUUAAUCGGGGCAGGGUGAGUCGACCCCUAAGGCGAGGCCGAAAGGCGUAGUCGAUGGGAAACAGGUUAAUAUUCCUGUACUUGGUGUUACUGCGAAGGGGGGACGGAGAAGGCUAUGUUGGCCGGGCGACGGUUGUCCCGGUUUAAGCGUGUAGGCUGGUUUUCCAGGCAAAUCCGGAAAACCAAGGCUGAGGCGUGAUGACGAGGCACUACGGUGCUGAAGCGACAAAUGCCCUGCUUCCAGGAAAAGCCUCUAAGCAUCAGGUAACAUCAAAUCGUACCCCAAACCGACACAGGUGGUCAGGUAGAGAAUACCAAGGCGCUUGAGAGAACUCGGGUGAAGGAACUAGGCAAAAUGGUGCCGUAACUUCGGGAGAAGGCACGCUGAUAUGUAGGUGAAGCGACUUGCUCGUGGAGCUGAAAUCAGUCGAAGAUACCAGCUGGCUGCAACUGUUUAUUAAAAACACAGCACUGUGCAAACACGAAAGUGGACGUAUACGGUGUGACGCCUGCCCGGUGCCGGAAGGUUAAUUGAUGGGGUUAGCGGUAACGCGAAGCUCUUGAUCGAAGCCCCGGUAAACGGCGGCCGUAACUAUAACGGUCCUAAGGUAGCGAAAUUCCUUGUCGGGUAAGUUCCGACCUGCACGAAUGGCGUAAUGAUGGCCAGGCUGUCUCCACCCGAGACUCAGUGAAAUUGAACUCGCUGUGAAGAUGCAGUGUACCCGCGGCAAGACGGAAAGACCCCGUGAACCUUUACUAUAGCUUGACACUGAACAUUGAGCCUUGAUGUGUAGGAUAGGUGGGAGGCUUUGAAGUGUGGACGCCAGUCUGCAUGGAGCCGACCUUGAAAUACCACCCUUUAAUGUUUGAUGUUCUAACGUUGGCCCGUAAUCCGGG
RNAcentral lists this ribosomal RNA (1881 nucleotides) under Escherichia coli. Its description in RNAcentral is "partial 23S ribosomal RNA". It matches the Rfam family "Bacterial large subunit ribosomal RNA", at positions 375 to 2244 of the family's 2925-position model. Lineage: Bacteria; Pseudomonadati; Pseudomonadota; Gammaproteobacteria; Enterobacterales; Enterobacteriaceae. The record is from RNAcentral.